GGAUGAACGCUGGCGGCGUGCCUAAUACAUGCAAGUCGAGCGAACAGAUGAGGAGCUUGCUCCUCUGCCGUUAGCGGCGGACGGGUGAGUAACACGUGGAUAACCUACCUAUAAGACUGGGAUAACUUCGGGAAACCGGAGCUAAUACCGGAUAAUAUAUUUAACCGCAUGGUUCAAUAGUGAAAGACGGUUUUGCUGUCACUUAUAGAUGGAUCCGCGCCGCAUUAGCUAGUUGGUAAGGUAACGGCUUACCAAGGCAACGAUGCGUAGCCGACCUGAGAGGGUGAUCGGCCACACUGGAACUGAGACACGGUCCAGACUCCUACGGGAGGCAGCAGUAGGGAAUCUUCCGCAAUGGGCGAAAGCCUGACGGAGCAACGCCGCGUGAGUGAUGAAGGUCUUCGGAUCGUAAAACUCUGUUAUUAGGGAAGAACAAAUGUGUAAGUAACUAUGCACGUCUUGACGGUACCUAAUCAGAAAGCCACGGCUAACUACGUG
Molecule: ribosomal RNA, 498 nt
Filed under: uncultured bacterium
Lineage: Bacteria
Description: partial 16S ribosomal RNA
Rfam family: Bacterial small subunit ribosomal RNA
Source: RNAcentral